UGUAAGCGUAUACCAAAGUUGUUGCAGUUAAAACGCUCGUAGUCGGAAUUUGGCAGUUCCGGAUGUGUGCACGUCGUGUGCGCACUUCGCGGGGAUUGCUUUUGUGGUCUUGCGUAGGAUGAGGCACUUUUAUUAGUGAACGUCCUCACGCAACCACUUUUUACUGUGAGAAAAUCAGAGUGCUCAAAGCAGGCAUUUGCCGUGAAUGUAUUAGCACGGAAUAAUAGAAUAGGACUUGGUCCUAUUUUGUUGGUUUGUUGGGACUGAGUAAUGAUUAAGAGGGACAGUUGGGGGCAUUUGUAUUUCGGUGCUAGAGGUGAAAUUCUUAGAUUACCGAAAGACAAACUGCUGCGAAAGCGUCUGCCAAGGAUGUUUUCAUUGA
Molecule: ribosomal RNA, 382 nt
Filed under: uncultured eukaryote
Lineage: Eukaryota
Description: partial 18S ribosomal RNA
Rfam family: Eukaryotic small subunit ribosomal RNA
Source: RNAcentral